UACGUAGGGGGCAAGCGUUAUCCGGAUUUACUGGGUGUAAAGGGAGCGUAGACGGCGAUGCAAGCCAGAUGUGAAAGCCCGGGGCUCAACCCCGGGACUGCAUUUGGAACUGUAUAGCUAGAGUGUCGGAGAGGCAGGCGGAAUUCCUAGUGUAGCGGUGAAAUGCGUAGAUAUUAGGAGGAACACCAGUGGCGAAGGCGGCCUGCUGGACGAUGACUGACGUUGAGGCUCGGAAGCGUGGGGAGCAAACAGG
Molecule: ribosomal RNA, 253 nt
Filed under: uncultured bacterium
Lineage: Bacteria
Description: partial 16S ribosomal RNA
Rfam family: Bacterial small subunit ribosomal RNA
Source: RNAcentral